Molecule: ribosomal RNA, 403 nt
Filed under: bacterium
Lineage: Bacteria
Description: partial 16S ribosomal RNA
Rfam family: Bacterial small subunit ribosomal RNA
Source: RNAcentral
UGUGGAAUCUUGCACAAUGGGGGAAACCCUGAUGCAGCGACGCCGCGUGAGCGAUGAAGGUUUUCGAAUCGUAAAGCUCUGUCCUAUGGGAAGAUAAUGAUGGCACCAUAGGAGGAAGCCCCGGCUAACUACGUGCCAGCAGCCGCGGUAAUACGUAGGGGGCGAGCGUCGUCCGGAAUUACUGGGCGGAAAGGGUUCGCAGGCGGCAUGACAAGUCCGAUGUAAAAGGCGAAAGCUCAACUUUCGUAAGCAUCGGAAACUGUCAAGCUUGGGUGAAGGGGAGGCAAGUGGAAUUCCUAGUGUGGCGGUGGAAUGCGUAGAUAUUAGGAGGAAUACCGAUGGCGAAGGCGACGUGCUGGACUUCAACUGACGCUGAGGAACGAAAGCGUAGGUAGCAAACAGG